This 490-nucleotide ribosomal RNA is filed under the name uncultured bacterium. Its description in RNAcentral is "partial 16S ribosomal RNA". It matches the Rfam family "Bacterial small subunit ribosomal RNA", at positions 29 to 507 of the family's 1533-position model. The record is from RNAcentral.
AAUGAACGCUGGCGGCAUGCCUUACACAUGCAAGUCGAACGGCAGCAUGACCUAGCUUGCUAGGUUGAUGGCGAGUGGCGAACGGGUGAGUAAUGCAUCGGAACGUGCCUUUUAGUGGGGGAUAACGUAGCGAAAGUUACGCUAAUACCGCAUAUUCUCUGAGGAGGAAAGCAGGGAACCUUCGGGCCUUGCGCUAGAAGAGCGGCCGAUGUCGGAUUAGCUAGUUGGUGAGGUAAAGGCUCACCAAGGCAACGAUCCGUAGCGGGUCUGAGAGGAUGAUCCGCCACACUGGGACUGAGACACGGCCCAGACUCCUACGGGAGGCAGCAGUGGGGAAUUUUGGACAAUGGGCGCAAGCCUGAUCCAGCCAUGCCGCGUGAGUGAAGAAGGCCUUCGGGUUGUAAAGCUCUUUCGGCUGGGAAGAAAUCGCACCCUCUAAUACAGGGUGUGGAUGACGGUACCAGCAUAAGAAGCACCGGCUAACUACGUG